Molecule: ribosomal RNA, 486 nt
Filed under: uncultured bacterium
Lineage: Bacteria
Description: partial 16S ribosomal RNA
Rfam family: Bacterial small subunit ribosomal RNA
Source: RNAcentral
AUUGAACGCUGGCGGCAUGCCUUACACAUGCAAGUCGAACGGCAACACGGGUGCUUGCACCUGUUGGCGAGUGGCGAACGGGUGAGUAAUACAUCGGAACAUGUCCUUUAGUGGGGGAUAGCCCGGCGAAAGCCGGAUUAAUACCGCAUACGAUCCACGGAUGAAAGCGGGGGACCUUCGGGCCUCGCGCUAUAGGGUUGGCCGAUGGCUGAUUAGCUAGUUGGUGGGGUAAAGGCCUACCAAGGCGACGAUCAGUAGCUGGUCUGAGAGGACGACCAGCCACACUGGGAGUGAGACACGGACCAGACUCCUACGGGAGGCAGCAGUGGGGAAUUUUGGACAAUGGGCGAAAGCAUGAUCCAGCAAUGCCGAGUGUGUGAAGAAGGCCUUCGGGUUGUAAAGCACUUUUGUCCGGAAAGAAAUCCUUGGCUCUAAUACAGUCGGGGGAUGACGGUACCGGAAGAAUAAGCACCGGCUAACUACGUG